Molecule: long non-coding RNA, 1287 nt
Filed under: Olea europaea subsp. europaea
Lineage: Eukaryota; Viridiplantae; Streptophyta; Magnoliopsida; Lamiales; Oleaceae
Source: RNAcentral
UGGGGUCCUCAACUUUAACGUGAAGAAACUGGGGGUGAUCAACAAUAAUAGUAACAUUAGUCCCCGAGUUCCAGAAAAACCAAAUCUUAUUCGAUUCAUUCUGAGCUCCCGUAUCGAAGCGCAGAUAGCGUCGAAUAUAUGCAAAGCUGUGCUGAAGAACAAAGGGCUCCAGUAUAACCAAAAGAUAAACCUGAUGAAGCUGUAUAAGUUUCUUCAGGCGCCGACGAGUAGCUACACUAGCUACACCUCUCACAUUCCAAAUGAUGGCACUCAUAGGGAUGGAGAAUGUGAAGAGGUAUCAUGUGACUGACUCCUGGUGAUCCUUCUGCUCGGAUGUGGAGUAUCAGUAGCCCGUGGGUGUUUCUUUCUUGUGACUCGGACAAAACCGUCAUCCUCUGAUCUACCAGCCAUACCCACUAAAUCCUCAGCAGAAGACCUACGGAACACACCCUGCUGAUGGACCUCAAUCUGUGAUGUAGCUUCAGUAUCCGACUGAUCAGAUUCUACUGAAGGAAUAGAAGCUUCAAUGUUCUGUUGACAAACAAGUGGAGAGCUGGAGGCAGGAUUACCAGUACGGCCAGGUGUAGGACCGGGAAGCUGUCUGACAACUCUAUCUGUAGCCUCUGAAUCAUGUGUUCGCCGAGACAUGUCGUGAGCCAAGGGGUCAGUGUAAUCACUGUCAACNAUUUUUCACAGGCAGAUGCGGAAUUUCAUGCUGAUCAUCACGGUAUGUUCCGUUUUCCGAAACGAGUUCAGGAUUGGCCGGAAUCUGCGAUUUUCCGAGCGACUGGCCGGAAAUUGCGAUCGCCGGUGAGGGCGCGUCCGGAGUCGGAAUUGGAUGAUUUUUUAGUCGAAGGUUCGCCUUUUCAUGGGUAAUCUUAUGGUCAGGCGCGUGUCCCUGUUUGAGCUCUGUGGAAGGGUUAAUUGAAAAAUCAGUUUUUGGCCCCUCGGGAUCCGAUCUGUCAAUUUCGGGCGAUUCGGAUGAAAUCUCUACCACCCCCAGGGUUUUCGGCCCUUCUGGAAUCAUUGGUGAUGGUCCCAGACCCUGAUUCAAUGCGUAGGGGGGUGUUUCGACGACCUUGGGAUUCGUGCCAUGAUUUUUCAAACUCAGAUCUAUUGAGUUGGGGGAUGAAUCUGAUAUUGGUGUUAUAGGAGAUGUUUGGGUGGUUGUUGGUGAUGAUUUUCCACCACUUAGAGUGCUGCAAUCCGGUGGUUUUGGUGGUGGAUCAAGUUUGUUGGAGUUUUGGAGGUUUUCUCCCAUUCUAGAGAGAAGGGAGAGCGUUUUGG